AGGACGAACGCUUGCGGCGUGCCUAAGAAAUGCAAGUCGAGCGGGAGUAGCAAUACUUUAGCGGCGAACGGUCGCGUAACACGUAGCCAACCUGCCCAGAAGACCGGGACAACACUCCGAAAGGGGUGCUAAUACCGGAUGUGCCCAUUUUGCCACAUGGCUUAAUGAGUAAAUCAUUUAUGGCUUCUGGAGGGGGCUGCGGCCUAUCAGCUAGAUGGUGGGGUAACGGCCUACCAUGGCGUCGACGGGUAGCUGGUCUGAGAGGAUGGUCAGCCGGACUGGGACUGAGAUACGGCCCAGACUCCUACGGGGGGCAGCAAUUAGGAAUCUUGCGCAAUGGGGGCAACCCUGACGCAGCGACGCCGCGUGGAGGAUGACGGCCUUCGGGUUGUAAACUCCUUUAUCGGGGAAGAAACAAAUGACGGUACCCGAUGAAUAAGCCCCGGCUAACUCCGUGCCAGCAGCCGC
Molecule: ribosomal RNA, 468 nt
Filed under: uncultured bacterium
Lineage: Bacteria
Description: SSU rRNA
Rfam family: Bacterial small subunit ribosomal RNA
Source: RNAcentral